UUAAUUUUAGAAAAUUCUAUUUUUUUAAAUUGAUAAUAAGAAUUUGGUUUAAUAUUUUUUUAACCAUUUUAAAUAGCAUUAUAAAUUAGCAUUAUAAAUAAAUUUUUGAUUUUAUAAUUAAAAAAAAAAAGUUUUAUUAGAAAUUUUAAUAAAAAUUAUGUAAAUUAUUUAUAAAAAUACAUUUAUUUUUCAUUUAUAUUUUGUAUAUAUUAAAUUAAA
Molecule: transfer RNA, 219 nt
Filed under: Pneumocystis jirovecii
Lineage: Eukaryota; Fungi; Ascomycota; Pneumocystomycetes; Pneumocystales; Pneumocystaceae
Description: tRNA-Pseudo(GAT)
Source: RNAcentral